UCGACGGCAGCACAGAGGAGCUUGCUCCUUGGGUGGCGAGUGGCGGACGGGUGAGUAAUGCAUCGGGAUCUACCCUGACGUGGGGGAUAACCUCGGGAAACCGGGACUAAUACCGCAUACGUCCUACGGGAGAAAGCGGGGGACCUUCGGGCCUCGCGCGGCAGGACGAACCGAUGUGCGAUUAGCUAGUUGGCGGGGUAAUGGCCCACCAAGGCGACGAUCGCUAGCUGGUCUGAGAGGAUGAUCAGCCACACUGGGACUGAGACACGGCCCAGACUCCUACGGGAGGCAGCAGUGGGGAAUAUUGGACAAUGGGCGCAAGCCUGAUCCAGCAAUGCCGCGUGUGUGAAGAAGGCCUUCGGGUUGUAAAGCACUUUUAUCAGGAGCGAAAUACCACGGGUUAAUACCCUAUGGGGCUGACGGUACCUGAGGAAUAAGCACCGGCUAACUUCGUGCCAGCAGCCGCGGUAAUACGAAGGGUGCAAGCGUUAAUCGGAAUUACUGGGCGUAAAGGGUGCGUAGGCGGUUACUUAAGUCUGUCGUGAAAUCCCCGGGCUCAACCUGGGAAUGGCGAUGGAUACUGGGUGGCUAGAGUGUGUCAGAGGAUGGUGGAAUUCCCGGUGUAGCGGUGAAAUGCGUAGAGAUCGGGAGGAACAUCAGUGGCGAAGGCGGCCAUCUGGGACAACACUGACGCUGAAGCACGAAAGCGUGGGGAGCAAACAGGAUUAGAUACCCUGGUAGUCCACGCCCUAAACGAUGCGAACUGGAUGUUG
This 773-nucleotide ribosomal RNA is filed under the name uncultured bacterium. RNAcentral describes it as "bacterial SSU rRNA". It matches the Rfam family "Bacterial small subunit ribosomal RNA", at positions 62 to 825 of the family's 1533-position model. The record is from RNAcentral.